UUGACCUCGAAUCAGGUAGGAAUACCCGCUGAACUUAAGCAUAUCAAUAAGCGGAGGAAAAGAAACCAACAGGGAUUGCCUUAGUAACGGCGAGUGAAGCGGCAACAGCUCAAAUUUGAAAUCUGGCCUUCUGGUCCGAGUUGUAAUUUGCAGAGGAUGCUUCGGGCGCGGUGCCUUCCAAGUCCCCUGGAACGGGGCGCCGGAGAGGGUGAGAGCCCCGUACGGUUGGCGGCCAAGCCUGUGUGAAGCUCCUUCGACGAGUCGAGUAGUUUGGGAAUGCUGCUCUAAGCGGGAGGUAGACCCCUUCUAAAGCUAAAUACCGGCCAGAGACCGAUAGCGCACAAGUAGAGUGAUCGAAAGAUGAAAAGCACUUUGAAAAGAGGGUUAAACAGCACGUGAAAUUGUUGAAAGGGAAGCGCUUGUGACCAGACGUGCGCCGGGGUGUUCAGCGGGCGUUCUCGCCCGUGCACUCGCCUCGGCGCAGGCCAGCGUCGGUUUGGGUGGGGGGAUAAAGGCGUCUGGAAUGUGGCUCCCUCCCGGGAGUGUUAUAGCCAGAGCGUGU
RNAcentral lists this ribosomal RNA (562 nucleotides) under Chaetosphaeria vermicularioides. RNAcentral describes it as "eukaryotic LSU rRNA". It matches the Rfam family "Eukaryotic large subunit ribosomal RNA", at positions 1 to 572 of the family's 3401-position model. Lineage: Eukaryota; Fungi; Ascomycota; Sordariomycetes; Chaetosphaeriales; Chaetosphaeriaceae. The record is from RNAcentral.